GACGAACGCUGGCGGCGUGCCUAAUACAUGCAAGUCGAACGCUGAAGAGAGGAGCUUGCUCUUCUUGGGUGAGUCGCGCACGGGUGAGUAACGCGUAUGUAACCUGCCUUGUAGCGGGGGAUAACUAUUGGAAACGAUAGCUAAUACCGCAUAACAAUGGAUGACACAUGGCAUGUAGUUGAAAGGGGCAAUUGCUCGAUUAACAGAUGGCCCUGCGUUGUAUUAGCUGGUAGGUGAGGUAAUGGCUCAUCUAGGCGAGGUUACAUCGCCCCCCUGAGAGGGUGAUCGGCCACACUGGGACGGUGACACGGCCCAGACGCCCUCGGGAGGCGGCCAGAGGGAAUCUGCGGCAAGGGGGGCAACACUGACCGAGCAACGCCGCGGGAGGGAAGAAGGUUGUCGGGUCGUAAAGCUCUGUUGUAAGUCAAGAACGGGUGUGAGAGUGGAAAGUUCACACUGUGACGGUAGCUGACCAGAAAGCGACGGCUAACUACGUG
Molecule: ribosomal RNA, 497 nt
Filed under: uncultured bacterium
Lineage: Bacteria
Description: partial 16S ribosomal RNA
Rfam family: Bacterial small subunit ribosomal RNA
Source: RNAcentral